UCUGGGAGAUGAUGCGAUAUACGGAUUGUCAGACUGCUGUUCUCAUGAGCAGCAGAUUAGCCGUGCUGAGUUAUUUUGCACGUCAGUCUGAUCCCAAA
This is a small nucleolar RNA of Zingiber officinale, 98 nucleotides long. RefSeq annotates it as small nucleolar RNA Z122. NCBI's taxonomy places the organism in Eukaryota, Viridiplantae, Streptophyta, Magnoliopsida, Zingiberales, Zingiberaceae. The record is from RefSeq and is a predicted model, not a curated record. The transcript has a single exon.